GACGAACGCUGGCGGCGUGCCUAACACAUGCAAGUCGAACGGAGAUUUUAUGGAAUGCGACUUCGGUCAAAUGAAAUCUAAUCUUAGUGGCGGACGGGUGAGUAACACGUGAGCAACCUACCUUUCAGAGGGGAAUAACGGCUGGAAACGGUCGCUAAUACCGCAUAAUAUACACUUUAGGCAUCUUUAGUGUAUCAAAGAUUUUAUCGCUGAAAGAUGGGCUCGCGUCUGAUUAGAUAGUUGGUGGGUAACGGCCUACCAAGUCUACGAUGUCUAGGGGUUCUGAGAGGAAGGUCCCCCANACUGGAACUGAGACACGGUCCAGACUCCUACGGGAGGCAGCAGUGAGGAAUAUUGGUCAAUGGUCGGAAGACUGAACCAGCCAAGUAGCGUGAAGGAUGAAGGUUCUAUGGAUUG
RNAcentral lists this ribosomal RNA (417 nucleotides) under uncultured bacterium. Its description in RNAcentral is "bacterial SSU rRNA". It matches the Rfam family "Bacterial small subunit ribosomal RNA", at positions 28 to 425 of the family's 1533-position model. The record is from RNAcentral.